GGGUCGAGUGAAGUGCCGAUACUGUAGGGGCCGACUCCGGUAAAGGGUCGAUCCUGUC
Synechococcus sp. KORDI-100 is the source of this 58-nucleotide regulatory RNA element. It matches the Rfam family "psbNH RNA". The record is from Rfam. NCBI's taxonomy places the organism in Bacteria, Bacillati, Cyanobacteriota, Cyanophyceae, Synechococcales, Synechococcaceae.